CCACAAACGUUUACUGAGCGCCUUCAACUCGCCAGGCACUAACUAGACUAGCGCAGGGAAACGGGGAUAAGUACUGAUGAGGGUCCCAGCCCUCAGCGAUCGGAUUUCAGAGGGGGAGAUAAAGGAUUGCCCAGAAGAGUGGUCUCGCUCUGUGGCCCGUGGUGCAGGACAGUGGCAUGACCAUGGCUCACUGCAACCUCGACCUCCCCAGCUCAAGUGACCCUCCACCUCAGCCUCCUGAGUAGCUGGGGCUACAGGCGCAUGCCACCAUGCCUAGCUUCAUAUGUGCUUGCUUCCAUCCUCUGCCCCUAAUGGUGCCACGUACUCUGUUCUCAAUAAGCACCCUGGCCCAUGGGUCUUUAGACUCAGCCUUGAUGAGGUAGACCUCAUCUCUACCAAAAAAAAAAAAAAAAAAUUAACAAAAAUUAGCCAAGUGGCUGGGCAUGGUGGCUCACACCUGUAAUCCCAGAGUUUUGGAAGGCCAAGGCAGAUGGAUCACUUGAGGUCAGGAGUUCAAGACUAGCCUGGCCAACAUGGUGAAACCCUGUCUCUACUAAAAACACAAAAAUUAGCUGGACGUGCACGCCUGUAGUGCCGGCUACUUGGGAGGUUAAGGCAGGAGAAUCGCUUGAACCCGAGAGGCAGAGGUUGCAGUGAGCUGAGAUUGUGUCACUGCACUCCAGCCUGGGUGACAGAGCAAGACUUCGUCUCAAAAAAAAUUAGCCAGUUGUGGUGAUGCGCACCUGUAGUCCCGGCUACUUGGGAGGAUGAGGCAGGAGGAUUGCUUGAGCCUGGGAGGUCAAAGCUGCAGUGAGCCACGAUCUCUUCACUGGAUUCCAGCCAGGAUGGCAAAGUGAGACUGUGUAUCAAAAAAACAAAAAAACAGCCGGGCGCAGUGGCUCAUGCCUGUAAUCCCAGCACUUUGGGAGGCCGAGGCAGGCAGAUCACGUGAGGUCGGGAGUUCGAGACCAGCCUGCCCAACAUGGAGAAACCUCGUCUCUACUAAAAAUACAAAAUUAGCCAGGCGUGGUGGCACAUGCCUGUAAUCCCAGCUACUAGGGAGGCUGAGGCAGGAUAAUCGCUUGAACUCAGGAGGCAGAGGUUGUGGUGAGCCAAGAUCGUGCCAUUGCACUCCAGCCUGGGCAACAAGAGUGAAAUUCCGUCUCAAAAAAAAAAAAAAAAAAAACAAA
Molecule: long non-coding RNA, 1190 nt
Organism: Pongo pygmaeus (Bornean orangutan)
Lineage: Eukaryota; Metazoa; Chordata; Mammalia; Primates; Hominidae
Exons: 2
Source: RefSeq, a predicted model, not a curated record